Molecule: long non-coding RNA, 202 nt
Organism: Carassius auratus (goldfish)
Lineage: Eukaryota; Metazoa; Chordata; Actinopteri; Cypriniformes; Cyprinidae
Exons: 3
Source: RefSeq, a predicted model, not a curated record
GAAGAAGAAGGCAGAUUCUCUUUGUGUUGGUGCUGGACACUGUUGUGCGCGUUGGGCUUCCUUUUCAGUGGUAAUUUCUAGAAGUGUGUGUCUACUCUUCAUGGAGGACACAGGCUUCUGCAUGGAGUUUUAAAAUGUGUUGUGAUCACCUCAUUGUGACCUGAGCUGCUGGGCUGCAUCGCAACGGAAUGUUCACCUUUGU